This 661-nucleotide long non-coding RNA is filed under the name Equus asinus (donkey). Its description in RNAcentral is "lncRNA (ENSEASG00005027221.1)". The record is from RNAcentral. Lineage: Eukaryota; Metazoa; Chordata; Mammalia; Perissodactyla; Equidae.
AGCUUGGCGCUCUGGCUGUGACGAUGUGCGUUCCUGCUCCUCUCACUUGCCUACCGCCUGCGGGCCCUGCCCACUGGGCCACCUACUUCAUCUUCGCAGGCGUGAGAACGCCGUUCCCCCUGCUUUCCCCACAUUCUUGGCCUUUCUGGCUCGUGACAAAGCUCUUUAAGGAGCGUGAGCUCACUGGUUCCGGAUUUUGGUCUCCCUACUUUGGCAGGCUGGACCAGACUUGGCAUGGGAAAGAAAGGGACUUCCUGACACCUAAUGAAACUGCAGGAGUCCCAGGGCUGGGCCUGGGUCCUGGGAAACACUCACCUGGAAGUUAGGAAAAAGAUAACACGGAGGAAGAUGGCUGCGCCUCUAGAAACUCUCAUCGAUGGAGAAGGCACUGGAUUCUGCGUAACAAAGUUUAACCUGUAAACAUAAGCGCUGCCCCACACCUUUCUUUUGUCUUUAGCUGCAGAUGAGGUCUCAGCCAAAAGCUCAGAAGAGCAGAGGGAAAAUUAUUUUUCCUCCCCUACAGUUCCUGGUACACCCCACUUGCUCUGGAGCCUGCAGACAGCAUCCUGGAAAAAUGGGCCAAAGCCGGCAGAGGGUAAAAAUUCUUACCAAAGUCAGCUUUCCCGGAUCUCUGCCUGCAGUGCCCGGUUGAGAGAGGAAG